Molecule: unclassified non-coding RNA, 1784 nt
Filed under: uncultured fungus
Lineage: Eukaryota; Fungi
Description: sequence contains 18S rRNA gene, ITS1, 5.8S rRNA gene, ITS2, 28S rRNA gene
Rfam family: Eukaryotic large subunit ribosomal RNA (bases 472-1784)
Source: RNAcentral
GGAAGGAUCAUUAACGAAGCCAUUUUGGCAUCAUUCUUUCAUUCUGUGAACUUAUCUUUGCUUUGGGUGGUUGAUUUUGAUAAUCCAAAACUGGCCACCCAAAAUUUUAAACACUUUUAUUUUGAAUUGUCUGAACGAUUAAAAAAUAAAUUAAUCAAAACUUUCAACAACGGAUCUCUUGGUUCUCGCAUCGAUGAAGAACGCAGCAAAACGCGAUAUGUAAUGUGAAUUGCAGAAUUUUGUGAAUCAUCGAAUCUUUGAACGCACAUUGCGCCCUUUGGUAUUCCAAAGGGCAUACCUGUUUGAGCGUCAUUUCUUUCUCAUUCUGAAUGGUUUUGUGUGUAUUUCUUGUAUGACAAGAUCACACUAAAUUAAAUGGCAUGAUUGUUAUCUGUGAAAGCGUUUUAGGUUUAACAACUACGUGAUCUAAAUAACAUUGGUCAGGCCUUUAUAACCCCCAAAUCAAAAAUUUGACCUCAAAUCAGGCAAGAAUACCCGCUGAACUUAAGCAUAUCAAUAAGCGGAGGAAAAGAAACCAACCGGGAUUGCCUUAGUAACGGCGAGUGAAGCGGCAAAAGCUCAAAUUUGAAAUCUGGCACUUUUGGUGUCCGAGUUGUAAUUUGAAGAAAGUAACUUUUGGAAUGAGCCUUGCAUAAGUUCCUUGGAACAGGACGUCAUAGAGGGUGAGAAUCCCGUAUAUGGUGGGGUAAUCAUUUCAAUGUAAAGUGCUUUCGAAGAGUCGAGUUGUUUGGGAAUGCAGCUCUAAGUGGGUGGUAAAUUCCAUCUAAAGCUAAAUAUUGGCGAGAGACCGAUAGCGAACAAGUACAGUGAUGGAAAGAUGAAAAGAACUUUGAAAAGAGAGUGAAAAAGUACGUGAAAUUGUUGAAAGGGAAGGGCAUGAAAUCAGACUUGGUAUUCAGUGAUCAGCAAUCUCUUGUGGGUUGUGCACUUGCUGUUUACUGGGCCAGCAUCGGUUUUGACGGUGGGAUAAUGACAUUGGAAUGUGGCUUCCUUCGGGGAGUGUUUAUAGCCUUUGUUGAUAUCACCAGUUGAGAUCGAGGACCGCGCAAUUUUUUGCUAGGAUGCUGGCGUAAUGAUUUUAAGCCACCCGUCUUGAAACACGGACCAAGGAGUCUAACGUCUAUGCGAGUGUUUGGGUGUAAAACCCGUACGCGUAAUGAAAGUGAACGUAGGUGAGGGCCCUUUUGGGGGUGCAUCAUCGACCGAUCCUGAUGUUUUCGGAUGGAUUUGAGUAAGAGCAUAGCUGUUGGGACCCGAAAGAUGGUGAACUAUGCCUGAAUAGGGUGAAGCCAGAGGAAACUCUGGUGGAGGCUCGUAGCGGUUCUGACGUGCAAAUCGAUCGUCAAAUUUGGGUAUAGGGGCGAAAGACUAAUCGAACCAUUAACGGUAUUACUACUACUAGGUGGUUAAGAGGCAUACGACGCAGUAUGUCUAGUCGUGUUUACACGGCGAGAUCAUCAAAUUGCUGGGACACCCUAAAGACAACAGUACUAAGCCGACUGGAAACGGUUGGUGGAGUAGUAGCGACUACUGAGUAAUAAUCUGUUGUAUGUUACAAUGGGCAAUCAGCAGCCAAGUCCUGCCCUUCAGUACUGUAGUAAUGGAGAUGGACGCAGUUCAGAGACUAAAUGGUGGUCGGCACCUCUGGCAGGGGUGCUUAAGAUAUAGUCCAAUCCCAACCGAAAGGUUGAUUGUAGACAAAGUGUUGAAUGCAACACCCGAACCUACAAUGUAAGGUAGAAAUGCUAGUAGCUGGUUCCUGC